RNAcentral lists this ribosomal RNA (253 nucleotides) under uncultured bacterium. RNAcentral describes it as "partial 16S ribosomal RNA". It matches the Rfam family "Bacterial small subunit ribosomal RNA", at positions 524 to 776 of the family's 1533-position model. The record is from RNAcentral.
UACGAAGGGGGCUAGCGUUGUUCGGAAUUACUGGGCGUAAAGGGCGCGUAGGCGGCGUGGCAAGUCAGGCGUGAAAGCCCCGGGCUCAACCUGGGAACUGCGCUUGAGACUGGCAUGCUCGAGUUCGGGAGAGGAUGGUGGAAUUCCCAGUGUAGAGGUGAAAUUCGUAGAUAUUGGGAAGAACACCGAUGGCGAAGGCGGCCAUCUGGACCGACACUGACGCUGAGGCGCGAAAGCGUGGGGAGCAAACAGG